Molecule: transfer RNA, 72 nt
Filed under: Camelus bactrianus (Bactrian camel)
Lineage: Eukaryota; Metazoa; Chordata; Mammalia; Artiodactyla; Camelidae
Also listed under: 2 other names
Rfam family: tRNA
About the family: Transfer RNA (tRNA) molecules are approximately 80 nucleotides in length. Their secondary structure includes four short double-helical elements and three loops (D, anti-codon, and T loops).
Source: Rfam by way of RNAcentral
GGAGAUAUAGCUCAGUGGUAGAUCAUGUGCUUAGCGUGUAUGAGGUCCUGGGUUCAAUCCCCAGUGCCUCCA